RNAcentral lists this ribosomal RNA (253 nucleotides) under uncultured bacterium. RNAcentral describes it as "partial 16S ribosomal RNA". It matches the Rfam family "Bacterial small subunit ribosomal RNA", at positions 524 to 776 of the family's 1533-position model. The record is from RNAcentral.
UACGUAGGGUGCUAGCGUUGUUCGGAAUCAUUGGGCGUAAAGCGCGUGUAGGCUGGUAAUUAAGUCGGGUGUGAAAUCCCUGGGCUCAACCGAGGAAGUGCAUCCGAAACUGAUUAGCUAGAAGAUGGUAGAGAAAGGUGGAAUUCCAAGUGUAGAGGUGAAAUUCGUAGAUAUUUGGAGGAAUACCGGUGGCGAAGGCGGCCUUUUGGGCCAUUCUUGACGCUGAGACGCGAAAGCGUGGGUAGCAAACAGG